AUACGGAGGGUCCAAGCGUUAUCCGGAAUCAUUGGGUUUAAAGGGUGCGCAGGCGGACCUGUCAGUCAGUGGUGAAAUCCCGGGGCUCAACCCCGGAACUGCCAUUGAUACUACAGGUCUUGAAUACGGUUGAAGUAGGCGGAAUGUAGCAUGUAGCGGUGAAAUGCAUAGAUAUGCUACAGAACACCGAUCGCGAAGGCAGCUUACUAAGCCGAUAUUGACGCUCAGGCACGAAAGCGUGGGUAGCGAACAGGAUUAGAAACCCUAGUAGUCC
Molecule: ribosomal RNA, 274 nt
Filed under: uncultured bacterium
Lineage: Bacteria
Description: partial 16S ribosomal RNA
Rfam family: Bacterial small subunit ribosomal RNA
Source: RNAcentral